Molecule: small nuclear RNA, 142 nt
Organism: Cebus imitator (Panamanian white-faced capuchin)
Lineage: Eukaryota; Metazoa; Chordata; Mammalia; Primates; Cebidae
Product: U4 spliceosomal RNA
Exons: 1
Source: RefSeq, a predicted model, not a curated record
AGCUUUGCGCAGUGGCAGUAUCGUAGCCAAUGUGGUUUAUCCAAAGUGCGAUUAUUGCUGAUUGAAAAGAAAGUUAAAAAAAAUUUAAAAAAACAAACUACGGCUGGGCACAAUGGCUCACGCCUAUAAUCCAUCACUGUGG